ACUGAACAUGGCAGCUCACGCCUAUAAUCUCUUUUACUGGGGAGUCUAAGGAUAGGGGAUCUCUUGAGCUCAGGAGUUUUGAGCUGCAGUGGGCUAAGCCUACGUACUGGGUCUCUAUACUAAUUCAGACAUCAAUCUAGCAAGUAACCCAGGAGUAGGGGACCACCAGAUUGCCCAAGGACAGUCGAAAGGGCCACAUGUCAGAAAUGAACAGGUCAAAAUAUCCAUGGUAACAAGCAGUGGGAUCUGCCCCUGAAUAGGCACUACACUUCCAACCUGGGUGAUAUAGGGAAAAUGAGUCUUUA
This 305-nucleotide signal recognition particle RNA is filed under the name Vombatus ursinus (common wombat). RNAcentral describes it as "Metazoan signal recognition particle RNA (ENSVURG00010008168.1)". It matches the Rfam family "Metazoan signal recognition particle RNA". From Rfam's summary of the family: The signal recognition particle (SRP) is a universally conserved ribonucleoprotein. It is involved in the co-translational targeting of proteins to membranes. Lineage: Eukaryota; Metazoa; Chordata; Mammalia; Diprotodontia; Vombatidae. The record is from Rfam by way of RNAcentral.